GGUGGAAGUGGGUUCCUCCCAGUUCCUGAGACAGGAAACAGGGACCCAGGAGACCAGC
Molecule: microRNA precursor, 58 nt
Organism: Gorilla gorilla gorilla (western lowland gorilla)
Lineage: Eukaryota; Metazoa; Chordata; Mammalia; Primates; Hominidae
Source: Ensembl